UUUGGCUUGUACAAAUGGCCAGUCCCCUGCCAAGGGAUCCAAACAGGAACUCAGAUUUCUCUGAUCUAUAACAUCUCUGCUUUGGCUUACCAUGCUAAGGCCGAUCUUCCGGUGAAUAAUUGUAAUAAUAAAAUUCCAAAUGGGUAAGUGUGAAUUGAAAGACAGUUCUCCUGUUGUAAGGAAAUGAUGAUCCAAGUAGAGGAAAGUGCCCCUUGGGUCAGUUUCAUGAGAUAGUGUCAUGCCCCUUGGGUCAGUUUCAUGAGAUAGUGUCAUGCCCCUUGAAUUUUCAUGAAGAGAGAAUGCUUGACAGAUUCCAUAGUAACUGAGUUUGCAUGCAAGGUUAGCAUCAAGGAGAAUAUUUCCUGGCUUUAAACCACCAUGUACAAUGCUGUGAGGCUUGCUGGAAUGAAGAAACAUAAGGACAGAGCAUAACUCAGUGGCUAUGCGUAUUCGAGCUUGCCAAGGCAAGGGUGGAGUGUUGUCCUUGCAGCUGAGCCGAUCCUCAAGGGUUCCAUUUGGUAAAUAUUCAUAGACUAGAGCACAAGCUUCUGAGCAGGCUCCAAUGAGAAUGGCCAAGUUCGGAUGCCUCAAUUUACUUAAUAAUUCAACCUCCUGUUCAAACUCCAGACGCCCUUGCAUGCUCUCUGGGUUCAGCACCUUUAUAGCUACUGGGGUGUGACGAAGAUUAGCUCUGUAAGUGUUCCCAUAACCAUCUCUCCCAAUCCUUAAGAUUGGGUCAAAGUUGAAGGUUGCUUCAUGAAUUUCUGACAAAGAGAACACGGAAAGAAACUGAUGCAUUUGUGAGCAUGAGGCAUCUUCUACUUGCUUUUUUGAAAGCUCCUCAGCCAGCUCCUUGGCUAAUUUGAGAACAUUGUCAUGCUCUACCUGCAACUUAUCUCUUUCUUUCUUAUAUUCUUUGCACUGUUCUACAGCAGAAAGUCUUUCAUCAUUCAACUCUUUUAUCUUUUCAUCAAAUUUUGAAACUUGGAUAUGCUGUAAUAAUUUCUGAUCCUUGGUAAUCACUCUCUCCUCAUCCCACUGAUUCUUUGUCCUCUGAUGGUUUUCUUUCUCUCUUGCAAGUGCUCCCUCAAUUUCUUUCCUACAUCUCAACUCCCUAGCAUACAAGAUUUCUAAAUCUUUAGCCCUGCGAACAGCGUUAACAGCAGUCUUUUCAGCUACUCCACACCUUAGCGACUCUUCAAGUGCUUGUUUUUUAAACUUUUCAGCCUCUGACAUGGCACGUUCCAGUUGAUUGUAAAGUUGAUCAAUACUACUUUCUUCCAGUGAAUCACGAUUGUGACUAUUUUCCUCAGAUAGAGACACUUCAUGUAACUCCAACUCAAGUCCACUCCCGUCAGUUCUCUGCUGCAAAAAAGAAGCGGAGUUUCCAAACCCAUUGGUUGUGGAGCAUGUAGAAUCCCCUUUGCUAUAAAUACAGUAAUUGUUGUUAGAGACAAUCGAGUAUUAACCAGCACUUGAGACAGUGAAGUCCAUGAUAAAAAGCUAUAAAAUAUAUUAAUUUAUAUAUUAAUUUAAAUCUCUGUCCCACAAAUAUUUCCUCAACAGAUGAUAUGCACGCAUUAUGAAAUGUGUAAUAUCAAGCAUACCAUAUGAAGUAUCCAUUGCAGAUAUACCAAAUUUGACAGGAAGAAGGCACAUGUAGUUGGAUAUAUUUAGCCUUCUUGGACUUAAGAUCCAUCAUUUCCUCUGAAUAGUGUUUGUUUGCCGCUGCUCCCAUAACAAGCUUCUUAAUAUCAUAAUGGUAUGCGAGUUCUAUAAUCCCCUUCCCAACAUCAUCCAUCUCCACACAUAACUUGUCUGCAUGGACAUCUAAUUGACCGCAGAAGAGGACGUAAUCAUCCAGGAUCUUGAGCAUAAUGUUCCUUUCAAGUUUUUGGAACUCCUUCAGCUCAUGUUGCCCAAGCCUGCUAGCCGGAAAUUUUCCGCCGACGAAGGGGAUCAUUUUAGCAGGCUGAUGAACAUGAAUAAUACACAAUCUCUUCCCGGGAAAAUUCUCUAUUGCCCAUACCAAAUUCAACUUGUUUUCUUCAAAAUCCUUACCCACUGCAACAUAUACAGUGUCAUCAUCAUCUUCAUCUGCCACUUGCGACGUUGAUCCCCUCCUUGAGGAGCUCUCAGCUUCCCAUUCUGCCAUCGACAAGUCUUGCUCACCUAAGCAGACCCAGGCAGUGAAAUCGCUAAAGCAUGCCCCAGCUAGCACCAGUAGCUCCAAG
RNAcentral lists this unclassified non-coding RNA (2234 nucleotides) under Hevea brasiliensis (rubber tree). The record is from RNAcentral. Lineage: Eukaryota; Viridiplantae; Streptophyta; Magnoliopsida; Malpighiales; Euphorbiaceae.